This is a long non-coding RNA of Acipenser ruthenus (sterlet), 674 nucleotides long. RefSeq lists it as uncharacterized. The transcript has 2 exons. The record is from RefSeq and is a predicted model, not a curated record. Lineage: Eukaryota; Metazoa; Chordata; Actinopteri; Acipenseriformes; Acipenseridae.
CACCAUGGACGUCCUGGUACUACAAGGAUCUACCAUGCUUAAGUUCCUGAAAUUAGUCUGCACAUGUGUGCAGGCUUCUGCUAAUUACUGUAGCUGUAAAUGAACCAACAAGUGUAGUGGCAGUAUGCUGUAGCAGGAAAUGUGGUUUAUAUCUUAACACAGAAACAACAUUUUUCAUCGUGGUAUCAUGAUUAUUGUAAGACCUUCCAUGACUCAAUAAAAAGCUCACAGAGAACAGAACCAGGGGCCAGGGGUGGGAGCUGAAGAAGGGCAUCUUCAGAACUGAGGGGAGAAGCAGCUUUUUCACAGAAAGGAUGGUGAACCAUUGGAACAGGCUGCCGUACAAUGUUGAUCAGAUCCCUCAAGAAUAGACUGGAUGUUGUCAUGAACAAUAUUGUAUAACCCUCUGUGACCACAAUAAGACCUUUAGCUAGCCGUCUGGAGGAAGGGCAGCCCGUCUCACCACGGAUUCCCAGAGGUUUAAUUUCCCCUACUAACCUGGUUAAGGGUUUUUGUUUUUCUUCUCCUGAGUGCUAAUGGACCACACUGGCACAAAAGCGAGCAAGCACAGGCCUUUUGUCAUUCUUGAAUUUCUUAUGUUCUUAUGUACGUUUAGUGAAAGGGCCACAACCACAGUUUAAUAAACAGACGCCAAGUGGCGUUGAAAAGUAAAA